AGGGAUGUGGCACAGCUUUGUAGCGCAUUUGUGUUGGGUUAAAAUAGCACAGGUUCAAAUCCCGCCAUCCCUA
RNAcentral lists this transfer RNA (73 nucleotides) under Salvia splendens (bonfire salvia). It matches the Rfam family "tRNA". From Rfam's summary of the family: Transfer RNA (tRNA) molecules are approximately 80 nucleotides in length. Their secondary structure includes four short double-helical elements and three loops (D, anti-codon, and T loops). The record is from Rfam by way of RNAcentral. Lineage: Eukaryota; Viridiplantae; Streptophyta; Magnoliopsida; Lamiales; Lamiaceae.